Vidua chalybeata is the source of this 561-nucleotide long non-coding RNA. RefSeq lists it as uncharacterized. Lineage: Eukaryota; Metazoa; Chordata; Aves; Passeriformes; Viduidae. The transcript is spliced from 5 exons. The record is from RefSeq and is a predicted model, not a curated record.
UGGGGAUGUGGCAUCAGGGAGAUUGGCGGGGAACUCUCUGGCAAGGAUGGGGAGUGUCUGCCAUAGUGAUUGGGGAUGCAACAACCAAGGAGAAGGAGCAAGCCGUGCACCCCAGUCUUGCUUUGAGGAAGGGAUGAAGGACAGGGAACAUUCCAGAAGGGAACUAAGGACAUACAAGGAGAUUGACAGAACUGCAAAACAACAGACUACCACAAAAAACUGUUUGAAAAAUGCACUGAAAUUGUCCAGAACAUCCAACCAUGGAGGCUCAGGCUUGGAACUUGCUGAUCCCCGAAUUAUUCCUCUUCACUGCCAUCAUAACAGCUAACUGACGUUUUCUGGAGAGUAGAAGCUUGGAUGGCAUUUCCGAUGACAUUUCUUCAAGCACCUUUGGAGAAGCAGCCCAAUAGCUCAUUUCAGAUUUCUUCAUGGAUCAUCACUAGCCACAUGUUAAUCUGAAGGAGAGCUCAGAGGGAGUAAUUUCACAACACAACUCUUAAGUUAACCCCCUCUUGUCAUUCCUAAUACCACCACUGAUCAUCUGUUAUUGGCUGGAUGAUG